AGAUGCCAUGGGCAGCCUCACAGCCACAGUGCUGGAGCGUGGCUUUGGCACAGUACAGGUGAUAAAGGCAACUGUGGUGACUGAAGGGAGAUCAGCGCAGAUGCGGCUGCCAUUGAGGAUGGCUCUUGAGGAGCGAUGGUGAUGCCCAGCAUUUGAACAAUGCUGAGCAGUGUUCUGAGUGGGCCCAAGGGAGCUGGAGGAAGAAAGGGGCAUGCCCCAAG
Dromaius novaehollandiae (emu) is the source of this 221-nucleotide long non-coding RNA. RefSeq lists it as uncharacterized. The record is from RefSeq and is a predicted model, not a curated record. The transcript has 3 exons. Lineage: Eukaryota; Metazoa; Chordata; Aves; Casuariiformes; Dromaiidae.